UGCAGCGGAACAAACUGGUUUCGAAUCUCCUUGAAUCUGCUUUGCAAGAGUUGCUGAUGCAACUCCUCUACUUUGCUCUCAUGUCUCACUCUAUGGAAGAGAGGGGAUGAAGGUUUAGGUGUCACACCAAAGAAGAAGGAGAGAGGAGGGAUGGCAUAGAGAAAGGAGGAAGGGCACCUAGAUCAAAUCCCCCACCCAUCUUUUUUCUUUUUGUGAUUUUCUCUAUGUAUCUCACCCCUUCUUAAUGCCCUCUUUUAUGGUUUGUCGCACAAACCAGAUAUGGCAUGCCAUCAAGAGAUAAGAGGCCUAAUUGGAAUGUAAUUCAAAUUGCCUCUUAUCCCUAAAGAGACCCAAGGAAGAAGGGAGGCGCCAAACUUGCACUUUCUCUCAUUACUACACACAC
Molecule: long non-coding RNA, 403 nt
Filed under: Elaeis guineensis (African oil palm)
Lineage: Eukaryota; Viridiplantae; Streptophyta; Magnoliopsida; Arecales; Arecaceae
Description: long non-coding RNA (EGUI_LNC031775)
Source: RNAcentral